CCGUGCACGGUGGGGCGCUAGGGGUGCCCUGAACCCGAAAUCCUCUUCAUGCGGGACUGAUCCCCCGCCCGAGGGUGGAAGGUCACCGGGUCAGCAUCGGGAUCCAUUGGCGUUGAAGGCCGGGUCCUACGCGGCGGGACGUUGUGAACUGGGUCAGGUCCGGAAGGAAGCAGCCCUAAGCAGGUCAGUCCCGGGUGCCGUAGGGCAACCUGGUUGGAGUUGAUGCCCCGAAUAGCGCCAGUGAUCUUCGGCUCGACGGCGGGGGGCGCGG
This 271-nucleotide signal recognition particle RNA is filed under the name Acidimicrobiia bacterium. RNAcentral describes it as "signal recognition particle sRNA large type". It matches the Rfam family "Bacterial large signal recognition particle RNA". Rfam says of the family: The signal recognition particle (SRP) is a universally conserved ribonucleoprotein involved in the co-translational targeting of proteins to membranes. Archaeal SRP consists of a 7S RNA and homologues of the eukaryotic SRP19 and SRP54 proteins. The record is from RNAcentral. Lineage: Bacteria; Bacillati; Actinomycetota; Acidimicrobiia.